Molecule: transfer RNA, 76 nt
Filed under: Magnetococcales bacterium
Lineage: Bacteria; Pseudomonadati; Pseudomonadota; Magnetococcia; Magnetococcales
Description: tRNA-Lys
Rfam family: tRNA
About the family: Transfer RNA (tRNA) molecules are approximately 80 nucleotides in length. Their secondary structure includes four short double-helical elements and three loops (D, anti-codon, and T loops). Further hydrogen bonds mediate the characteristic L-shaped molecular structure. tRNAs have two regions of fundamental functional importance: the anti-codon, which is responsible for specific mRNA codon recognition, and the 3' end, to which the tRNAs corresponding amino acid is attached (by aminoacyl-tRNA synthetases). tRNAs cope with the degeneracy of the genetic code in two manners: having more than one tRNA (with a specific anti-codon) for a particular amino acid; and 'wobble' base-pairing, i.e. permitting non-standard base-pairing at the 3rd anti-codon position.
Source: RNAcentral
GGGUCGUUAGCUCAGUCGGUAGAGCAUCUGACUUUUAAUCAGAGGGUCAUUGGUUCGAUUCCAAUACGACCUACCA